This 429-nucleotide ribosomal RNA is filed under the name Bacteroidota bacterium. RNAcentral's name for it is "Bacteroidetes bacterium partial 16S ribosomal RNA". It matches the Rfam family "Bacterial small subunit ribosomal RNA", at positions 355 to 776 of the family's 1533-position model. The record is from RNAcentral. Lineage: Bacteria; Pseudomonadati; Bacteroidota.
UAGGGAAUCUUCGGCAAUGGGGGGAACCCUGACCGAGCAACGCCGCGUGAGUGAAGAAGGUUUUCGGAUCGUAAAGCUCUGUUGUUAAGGAAGAACGAGUGUGAGAAUGGAAAGUUCAUACUGUGACGGUACUUAACCAGAAAGGGACGGCUAACUACGUGCCAGCAGCCGCGGUAAUACGUAGGUGGCAAGCGUUGUCCGGAUUUAUUGGGCGUAAAGCGAGCGCAGGCGGUUAGAAAAGUCUGAAGUGAAAGGCAGUGGCUCAACCAUUGUAGGCUUUGGAAACUGUUUAACUUGAGUGCAGAAGGGGAGAGUGGAAUUCCAUGUGUAGCGGUGAAAUGCGUAGAUAUAUGGAGGAACACCGGUGGCGAAAGCGGCUCUCUGGUCUGUAACUGACGCUGAGGCUCGAAAGCGUGGGGAGCGAACAGG